CACGUAGGUAACCUGCCCUUAAGACGAGGAUAACCAUUGGAAACGAUGGCUAAGACUGGAUAGGAACAUUGAAGGCAUCUUUGAUGUUUUAAAAGACCUAGCAAUAGGUAUGCUUAAGGAGGGGCCUGCGGCGCAUUAGCUAGUUGGUGAGGUGAUAGCUUACCAAGGCGAUGAUGCGUAGCCGGACUGAGAGGUUGAACGGCCACAUUGGGACUGAGAGACGGCCCAAACUCCUACGGGAGGCAGCAGUAGGGAAUUUUCGGCAAUGGGGGAAACCCUGACCGAGCAACGCCGCGUGAAUGACGAAGUACUUCGGUAUGUAAAGUUCUUUUAUUAGGGAAGAAUGGCAGGUGGAAAAACCUGAUUGACGGUACCUAAUGAAUAAGCCCCGGCUAACUAUGUG
RNAcentral lists this ribosomal RNA (403 nucleotides) under uncultured bacterium. RNAcentral's name for it is "bacterial SSU rRNA". It matches the Rfam family "Bacterial small subunit ribosomal RNA", at positions 114 to 507 of the family's 1533-position model. The record is from RNAcentral.